ACUCCUACGGGAGGCAGCAGUAGGGAAUUUUUCCCAAUGGAAGAAAGUUUGACGGAGCAACGCCGCGUUAGUGAUGAAGGUUUUUGGAUUGUAAAACUUUGUUGUUAGGGAAGAACAAGUACCGUUUGAAUAGGGCGGCACCUUGACGGUACCUAACCAGAAAGCCACGGCUAACUACGGGCCAGCAGCCGCGGUAAUACGUAGGUGGCAAGCGUUGUCCCGAAUUAUUGGGCGUAAAGCGCGCGCCGGCGGUUUCUUAAAUUUGAUGUGAAAGCCCCCGGCUCAACCGGGGAGGGUCAUUGGAAACUGGGGAACUUGAGUGCAGAAGAGGAGAGUGGAAUUCCACGUGUAGCGGUGAAAUGCGUAGAGAUGUGGAGGAACACCAGUGGCGAAGGCGACUCUCUGGUCUGUAACUGACGCUGAGGCGCGAAAGCGUGGGGAGCGAACAGGAUUAGAUACCCUGGUAGUCCACGCCGUAAACGAUGAGUGCUAAGUGUUAGAGGGUUUCCGCCCCUUAGUGCUGCAGCAAACGCAUUAAGCACUCCGCCUGGGGGAGUACGGUCGCAAGACUGAAACUCAAAGGAAUUGACGGGGGCCCGCACAAGCGGUGGAGCAUGUGGUUUAAUUCGAAGCAACGCGAAGAACCUUACCAGGUCUUGACAUCCUCUGACAACCCUAGAGAUAGGGCUUCCCCUUCGGGGGCAGAGUGACAGGUGGUGCAUGGUUGUCGUCAGCUCGUGUCGUGAGAUGUUGGGUUAAGUCCCGCAACGAGCGCAACCCUUGAUCUUAGUUGCCAGCAUUCAGUUGGGCACUCUAAGGUGACUGCCGGUGACAAACCGGAGGAAGGUGGGGAUGACGUCAAAUCAUCAUGCCCCUUAUGACCUGGGCUACACACGUGCUACAAUGGGCAGAACAAAGGGCAGCGAAGCC
RNAcentral lists this ribosomal RNA (930 nucleotides) under Bacillus licheniformis. RNAcentral describes it as "bacterial SSU rRNA". It matches the Rfam family "Bacterial small subunit ribosomal RNA", at positions 335 to 1256 of the family's 1533-position model. Lineage: Bacteria; Bacillati; Bacillota; Bacilli; Caryophanales; Bacillaceae. The record is from RNAcentral.